This 2224-nucleotide long non-coding RNA is filed under the name Olea europaea subsp. europaea. The record is from RNAcentral. Lineage: Eukaryota; Viridiplantae; Streptophyta; Magnoliopsida; Lamiales; Oleaceae.
GGCUGGAUGGAGCCAGGUUAGCUUGAGCCGGUCGGAAGUGAGUGGCUUUUUCAUACUACUUUUUUCCUUCCCUUUCCCUUGAAAGAGCAUGGCCCAGGAGAAAUUUUUGUUUGGAUCAUCAAGCUGGGAUCGGAAGCGGGCAUUAUUGCAAUCCUAGGGUUUUGAUUGGUAUAUAAGGGAAUAUGGUAAAUGUUUCGACUUCCGAUUGCAUGCGUUUUAGUUCUCUUUACAUAUUUUUUUAUAGUUUUCUCCAUUUUUUAAUUUCCUUUUUCAUGUUCUUUCUUGAGGUUGAGCCGUUGGCUUCGUCUGUGCUGCAUCUAGGCCACCCGUCUGAUUUGUUUCUAUUAGAUGGUGCAGAAACAGCUGAUCGUGGCUGUUGAAGGCAUGGCCGCUAUGGGACCCUACUGGUUUACCAUUCUCUCUAAUUACCUUGACAAGAUGAAUUGGUGUUUCAUUUACCCACGCUGUGAUUUCAAAAUGUAUUUGUGUGAUAUGUUGAAAUGUUUAUUUUUUAAUGGGAGCGAAUUGUUAUGGGAUAUGGGCUUGUUUUCGUGUGGAAUGUAUUAGAAUUCUGAAAUGGGUUUUCGCGGUUCAGUAAAAUUGUUUAUUUUUUGGGAAAUAAAUAUACUCAUUUUCUCUUGGAAUUAGUGUGUAUGCAUCAAAGAGUAUAAAUUUAUUUUGUGUUCUUGAUCAAUGAAUAGACUGCCAGUUAUUGGUCAUUUUUCUUAUGUUUUCUCCUUUUGUUUUGGUGCUAUUUUUUUGUGAAUUUUCUUUAUUAGUUUAUAAACAUUGCUGUAGAAGUGUUUGAUAAAUUGUUCACGUGAGUACAUUUUAUUGAGAAUUUCUUCAACUAUUGAUGACGCGGGUGAAAGUCUUGGAAAGUGUGAUCAGUAAAAUCUAUAGUUCCGUGGCGUAACUUUUGCUUGAGAAGUUUUUGAUAAUUUUUUUAUCAUUUCUAGACUGCUGUAUUUUUUGUUGAGUAAUAUUUUUUUUGCUGAGAUUUAUGUUAUUUAUUUAGGCACCGUUUGAUUGCCCACGAAUUUCUUAGAAAGUGGAAAUUAAUUUCCAUCUUUUCCAAAUUCUAGUGUUUGAUGGCAAAACAUUUCCUUGGAAUUCACUUUCCAUGCAAGCCUCACAGGCGCCUAUUUUCCUUCAUUUCAAGGAAUUGGUUUUCCCACCUAUAUGGUGGGAAAGUGAAAUCUAGGUUUUCAAUUUUUUUUUUUUUUUUGGUUUUUUUUUUUUUUUUUUUUUUGUUUUUUUUUUUUUUUUUUUUUUGUGUGUGUUAGCAGUGGAAACAAAUUCUAAAAAUUAUUGUAAAAAAAUAUUUUUCUUUAAUUGACAAUUUUCAUGUAAAACAAAACCAAACGAACACCCAAAAAUAGAUGAUUUUCUUGAUUUUUUUUUUUCGGGUUUUGGAAAUGGAAACAAAUUUCAUUCCCAACACCAGUAAAUUUUAUCCCUUUAAUUGACAAUUUUCAUGUAAAACAAAGUCAAACAGACAUAAAAAAGACACUUUAAUUUAAACAUUUUUCAUGUGGAAAAUUAUACCAAUCAAACACAAUAAUUUACAAUUUCCAGAAAAACAAUUUCUCAUCAAUUCAAUUCCCUGAAAUUUGUUUUCUUUCCACCCAAAUUCCACCUUUGCAAUCAAACAAACCCUUCUUUUUUGUUGUUUAAGGUGCGAGGAGUGUUGCAAAUGAUGCGAGGUCUGUCGAGUUCCCUGUUUUAUUGGGACGAUAAUGGACAUUGUUUUCAUAUUAAAAGUGAAAUAUACAUGACUUAUCUUUCCCAAAUAAGUUUGUAUGGCUAUCUUCACCAAUUUCCGCAUGCUGCAACAAGUUUAAAAGUGGCAGAGAUUGUUGUAAAGAAAAUAGAGAAAACUACUUGAGAACGUUUGCUUGUGCUAUUUCUACAUGGCUUAGAGUAUGUGUCUUUUACUAUGAAAUUUUUGUUUGAUAAACUCUUUUUCUUCUUAUUGGAUUCCUGUUCUCAUUUUUGAAAUGUUUAUGGAGGCUUUAUUUUCCUUAAUUUUGUUUCGGAGUACAAGAUUUGGGAUAAUUCUUUGAAAGAAGAACUGAAGAUAAAUAGCUCUAAUGGUAACCCUAUUGUGGCUAUCAAGUUCUUUAUCAGAGUUGUAUGCUUAUUUGGAGGAAUUUAAUUUGAUGUUUGGUGCUUGAAUAAUUGUGUAUAUAUUCUGUGAAGUUGUGGGAAAAAAAGAUUGACG